AGGUUCAUCAUAAAUGAUGAAAAGGGGAAUGAGGUGAGAAUCCUCAACUGUCCCGCAGCUGUAAACAACUGUUAGAGUCAUGAACACGAAGUCACUGAUAUUGUUGGGAAGACGUUCAUGACAAGGUUGUAUAGUCAGAAGACCUGCCUUUUGCUG
This 156-nucleotide non-coding RNA is filed under the name uncultured Prevotella sp. Lineage: Bacteria; Pseudomonadati; Bacteroidota; Bacteroidia; Bacteroidales; Prevotellaceae. The record is from RNAcentral.